RNAcentral lists this long non-coding RNA (1320 nucleotides) under Equus caballus (horse). RNAcentral describes it as "lncRNA (ENSECAG00000029384.3)". The record is from RNAcentral. Lineage: Eukaryota; Metazoa; Chordata; Mammalia; Perissodactyla; Equidae.
UCUUACCCAUCCUUCAGAAAUACUUUUCUUAAUUAUUUGGGUUAGUCCGGCAGGGGGAAGAGAAAGGAAUGAAAUAGGCAACAGGAAAGACUUCUCUGAAAUUGGUGCCAGAGUCUUCCCCAGACAAACUAAAGCUGGAUGGUAAGAGGCAUUCCUGGGAAGUUUUGUUCUUUCUACCCGAAGAAGCUCCACAACCUGCAGUAAGAUGGUGUCCACAGAACUGGGUGGAGUCAUUAAGAUUUUUCUACCCCUCUCCCACUGCCACCCACAUGCUAGCGCUAGCUCCUUUGUGGACCUAAGGGGAGAGCUAAGCUUUGGGCUUGAAAAUGUUGAAAACCGCUGUCUAGAAGCCACCUACAACGUUCAACCACCAGCUUGCCACUAGCAAUAGUAGAGAAAGCGGAAAGGAGGCAGACGUGGUUGCUGCCCGCUUGGAAAUUAUGGUACUAACAAGACUUCAAGUGAGGUACAACUCAUUUACAAAGACCAAAACUUUUUAAUACUGAAAAGAAGGCUUCAUAUUUUACAAGCAGGAAGCCUGUCAAGCAACUUGCUCUCGGCAGGAAAGCAGAUCAUGUAUCUUGAGCUUAUCUACCUCCUUUAGGCGGCAUCUAGCCCUGAUCAUCCUCGGAUAUGCACACAGAGCUCUGGAAGACCCACUCUGUACUCUCUGAGCUGGGGCCGCCUCGCCCAAGGCAUCUGAAGAGUUCUCGGUUCCCCAGCCUGUUGUUUAGGGAGCUCGGCUUCUUCCUCUGAAGUGUUGACUUUCUGCUGUCAUUUUCAAACUACCUACUACUGUUUAUUUGAAAUCUAAACAUCUGGGGAGCUUAAAAGACCAAAUUUGUUGAGGGCACAGUCUGCACUCUAACUUUAUACGCAUGAGACACAUGACAAGUAAACAUGUUGAUAGCAGGAUUUACUAAAAUGUAACUUCUGCAAUAUAAUCUGGGGCCAGGAAGAUUUAGUUCAAUCUUCUAUGGCACCAUUUAUGAUGGAAUUUUAGAUCUGGAAGAGACUGAACGAUCACUACCUUAACCCUUUAGUUUUGCAAAGAAGGAGCCCAAUUCAGAGAGAGGGUGACUUUUCCAUGUGAUAUGGCCAGUCAGUGGGAGAGCUGGGAGCAAAAAACAAUCUGGAUUCCUAGCUCCUCUCUAUUCUACUCUGAUACUGCGCCAUUCUGAAAAUGACAACGAUGCAAUGCAAAGUGUUAAAGAAUGUGCUGUACAAUCCGGGAAGAGAAAAGUUAUAGUCAGUGGCAGAAUAUCCUGAAAAUACCUGGCUCACAAGUUCUUUAAAUACCGUCCUUUAAAUGUCUGAAAG